ACCAGCAGCUAGCUCUCUGCAUCUCUCACAUGGUCACACAUUGAAGCUAAGCAGGGCUGAGCCUGGUCCGUACCUGGAAGGGAGACCACAUGGGAAAGCUAGGUUGCUGCUGAAA
This is a ribosomal RNA of Danio rerio (zebrafish), 115 nucleotides long. The record is from Ensembl. Lineage: Eukaryota; Metazoa; Chordata; Actinopteri; Cypriniformes; Danionidae.